CGCGCAGGCGGUUUUAUUAGUCAGAUGUGAAAGCCCACGGCUCAACCGUGGAAGUGCAUUUGAAACUGUAAGACCUGAGUACCAGAGGGGAAGUGGAAUUCCCGGUGUAGAGGUGAAAUUCGUAGAUAUCGGGAGGAAUACCGGUGGCGAAGGCGACUUUCUGGCUGGAUACUGACGCUGAGGCGCGAAAGCGUGGGGAGCAAACA
Molecule: ribosomal RNA, 206 nt
Filed under: uncultured bacterium
Lineage: Bacteria
Description: partial 16S ribosomal RNA
Rfam family: Bacterial small subunit ribosomal RNA
Source: RNAcentral